GAAAGGAAAAAUUAGAGAGAUUGGUAAAGGGUCUUCCCUAUCUCUAUUUUUCUUUCAGCAGAAACAAUCAAUGUAAGGGGUUCCUCCCCAAUUUUUGAAGCAAUACAAGACACUUUGUCUUCAUUUUUUUGGGUUCUAAAGGCAGUAUCAUUUGAAAUUCCGAAGCAAUCAAAGAGAUUCAUCAAGGAGCAAUUUUUGGAAGAAGUUUGUUUGGCUUGGUUUUGCUCCCAAAAGUCGACUAUUCACUUGCUGGAGGGUCUGGACGACUUUUUGUAGUUUAUUGGGGGAUAUCCGUUGCUUUACAUAUGGAACUUGCUGUUUUCCUGGAAGCUUGGGAGGCAAUUGGGGUGUCGUCGGUCAGUCAGAUUGUGAUUGAUUUGUAAUCGAAGCAAAUCAAAUAUAAAA
Molecule: long non-coding RNA, 405 nt
Organism: Hibiscus syriacus
Lineage: Eukaryota; Viridiplantae; Streptophyta; Magnoliopsida; Malvales; Malvaceae
Exons: 4
Source: RefSeq, a predicted model, not a curated record